Molecule: ribosomal RNA, 253 nt
Filed under: uncultured bacterium
Lineage: Bacteria
Description: partial 16S ribosomal RNA
Rfam family: Bacterial small subunit ribosomal RNA
Source: RNAcentral
GACGAACCGUACGAACGUUAUUCGGAAUCACUGGGCUUAAAGGGUGCGUAGGCGGCGCGGAAAGUUGGGUGUGAAAGCCCUCGGCUUAACCGAGGAAUUGCGCCCAAAACUACCGUGCUUGAGGGAGACAGAGGUGAGCGGAACUUAGGGUGGAGCGGUGAAAUGCGUUGAUAUCCUAAGGAACACCAGUGGCGAAAGCGGCUCACUGGGUCUCUUCUGACGCUGAGGCACGAAAGCUAGGGGAGCGAACGGG